RNAcentral lists this ribosomal RNA (253 nucleotides) under uncultured bacterium. RNAcentral's name for it is "partial 16S ribosomal RNA". It matches the Rfam family "Bacterial small subunit ribosomal RNA", at positions 524 to 776 of the family's 1533-position model. The record is from RNAcentral.
GACAGAGGGGGCAAGCGUUGCUCGGAAUUACUGGGCGUAAAGCGUGCGCAGGCGGUUUUGUAAGACUGUCGUGAAAUCCCCGGGCUUAACCUGGGAAUGGCGAUGGUGACUGCAAGGCUAGAGUUUGGCAGAGGGGGGUAGAAUUCCACGUGUAGCAGUGAAAUGCGUAGAUAUGUGGAGGAACACCGAUGGCGAAGGCAGCCCCCUGGGUCAAAACUGACGCUCAUGCACGAAAGCGUGGGGAGCAAACAGG